Molecule: ribosomal RNA, 254 nt
Filed under: uncultured bacterium
Lineage: Bacteria
Description: partial 16S ribosomal RNA
Rfam family: Bacterial small subunit ribosomal RNA
Source: RNAcentral
CACGUAGGGUGCGAGCGUUGUCCGGAAUUAUUGGGCGUAAAGAGCUCGUAGGCGGUGUGUCGCGUCGGCCGUGAAAACCUGCAGCUUAACUGUGGGCUUGCGGUCGAUACGGGCAUCACUGGAGUUCGGCAGGGGAGACUGGAAUUCCUGGUGUAGCGGUGAAAUGCGCAGAUAUCAGGAGGAACACCGGUGGCGAAGGCGGGUCUCUGGGCUAUAACUGACGCUCAUGCACGAAAGCGUGGGGAGCAAACAGG